RNAcentral lists this long non-coding RNA (360 nucleotides) under Nicotiana benthamiana. RNAcentral describes it as "long non-coding RNA (NBEN_LNC034153)". The record is from RNAcentral. Lineage: Eukaryota; Viridiplantae; Streptophyta; Magnoliopsida; Solanales; Solanaceae.
GCAUAUUGAGCCUAGAGAAAGAAGAGUAGCACUAAAUCGUGGUGCUGAGUACUUGGAACGAUAUUUUCGUUUGAUCGCUUUUGCUGCAUAUCUUGGCAGCGAAGCAUUUGAUGGAUUUUGUGGACAAGGAGAAUCAAAGAUGACUUUCAAAGAUUGGCUGCACCAGAGGCCAGAGGUUCAAGCAAUGAAGUGGUCAAUUAGAUUAAGGCCUGGGAGAUUCUUUAAGAUGACUUUCAAAGAUUGGCUGCAUCAGAGGCCAGAGGUUCAAGCAAUGAAGUGGUCAAUUAGAUUAAGGCCUGGGAGAUUCUUUACCAUCCCUGUAAUGCCUCUGACAUCUGUCUGUCUCUGUUGCAGAUUUAU